This is a non-coding RNA of Psilocybe cubensis, 72 nucleotides long. NCBI's taxonomy places the organism in Eukaryota, Fungi, Basidiomycota, Agaricomycetes, Agaricales, Agrocybaceae. The record is from the annotation of a RefSeq genome assembly.
GGAAGCAGAACUCGUAUGGUAGAGUGUCCCCCUUUUAAGGGGAAAGUUUUGGUUCAAUUCCAAGUGCUUCUA